UAGGAGUGCUAUAUAAAUAAAAAUGUUGGCUUACUUAAAAAGUUUAGUUGGAGCAGAAGAGAAAAUUAUGGAGAUUAUGAAGAGAAGAGUAAAGAGGAGGAAGCAAUUAAAGAGUUUGAGAAGAACAAUUUUCUACACUUAAGAAUAUCUACUAUCUGGAAGGCGAGCUCAAUUUGAGACAAGAAUAUUUUAUAUAAAUAUCAAAGGACACCAGUAAAGACAGAAAAUGGCACAAAUGAGAAGGGUAAUUCGGAAGCAUAUAACAGCAAAAAUCAAGGGCAAAGCGUGAGGCUGUGGCACGAAGGGUGCGAAGACUUGUUCCCGUAACGAGAAUGUUUUAGGAUUAUAAUAAUGGUAGAUUGUACUUUUGAACUUAUCAUUGUAAUGUUAUAAUAGACUGCGUGGAAGUGUAAGAUCGACCCUGGACUUGUGGGGCGAGCUAUGUAUUGGAAGUCAGGUAUGCUAUAAUAA
This is a long non-coding RNA of Daucus carota subsp. sativus, 471 nucleotides long. RefSeq lists it as uncharacterized. The transcript has 3 exons. Lineage: Eukaryota; Viridiplantae; Streptophyta; Magnoliopsida; Apiales; Apiaceae. The record is from RefSeq and is a predicted model, not a curated record.